RNAcentral lists this ribosomal RNA (253 nucleotides) under uncultured bacterium. Its description in RNAcentral is "partial 16S ribosomal RNA". It matches the Rfam family "Bacterial small subunit ribosomal RNA", at positions 524 to 776 of the family's 1533-position model. The record is from RNAcentral.
GACGAACCGAGCGAACGUUGUUCGGAAUAACUGGGCUUAAAGGGCGCGUAGGCGGGCCGCCAAGUUCGAGGUGGAAUCCUCCGGCUCAACCGGAGAACUGCCUCGAAUACUGGAGGCCUCGAGGCGGGUAGGGGCACGCGGAACUGUGGGUGGAGCGGUGAAAUGCGUUGAUAUCCACAGGAACUCCGGUGGCGAAGGCGGCGUGCUGGACCCGAUCUGACGCUGAGGCGCGAAAGCCAGGGGAGCAAACAGG